RNAcentral lists this ribosomal RNA (433 nucleotides) under uncultured bacterium. RNAcentral's name for it is "partial 16S ribosomal RNA". It matches the Rfam family "Bacterial small subunit ribosomal RNA", at positions 29 to 507 of the family's 1533-position model. The record is from RNAcentral.
AACGAACGCUGGCGGCAUGCCUAACACAUGCAAGUCGAACGAUGCCUUCGGGCAUAGUGGCGCACGGGUGCGUAACGCGUGGGAAUCUGCCUUUCGGUUCGGAAUAACUCAGGGAAACUUGAGCUAAUACCGGAUAACGCCGCAAGACCAAAGAUUUAUCACCGAAAGAUGAGCCCGCGUAGGAUUAGCUAGUUGGUGAGGUAAAGGCUCACCAAGGCGACGAUCCUUAGCUGGUCUGAGAGGAUGAUCAGCCACACUGGGACUGAGACACGGCCCAGACUCCUACGGGAGGCAGCAGUGGGGAAUAUUGGACAAUGGGCGAAAGCCUGAUCCAGCAAUGCCGCGUGAGUGAUGAAGGCCUUAGGGUUGUAAAGCUCUUUUACCCGGGAAGAUAAUGACGGUACCGGGAGAAUAAGCCCCGGCUAACUCCGUG